RNAcentral lists this ribosomal RNA (484 nucleotides) under uncultured bacterium. Its description in RNAcentral is "partial 16S ribosomal RNA". It matches the Rfam family "Bacterial small subunit ribosomal RNA", at positions 29 to 507 of the family's 1533-position model. The record is from RNAcentral.
AUUGAACGCUGGCGGCAUGCUUUACACAUGCAAGUCGAACGGCAGCGCGGGCUUCGGCCUGGCGGCGAGUGGCGAACGGGUGAGUAAUACAUCGGAACGUGCCCAGUAGUGGGGGAUAGCUCGGCGAAAGCCGGAUUAAUACCGCAUACGACCUGAGGGUGAAAGCGGGGGAUCUUCGGACCUCGCGCUAUUGGAGGGGCCGAUGGCAGAUUAGCUAGUUGGUGGGGUAAAGGCCUACCAAGGCGACGAUCUGUAGCUGGUCUGAGAGGACGACCAGCCACACUGGAACUGAGACACGGCCCAGACUCCUACGGGAGGCAGCAGUGGGGAAUUUUGGACAAUGGGCGAAAGCCUGAUCCAGCAAUGCCGCGUGUGUGAUGAAGGCCUUCGGGUUGUAAAGCACUUUUGGCGGGAACGAAAAGGACUGUGCCAAUACCACGGUUCGAUGACGUUACCCGCAGAAUAAGCACCGGCUAACUACGUG